Molecule: long non-coding RNA, 695 nt
Organism: Tupaia belangeri chinensis (Chinese tree shrew)
Lineage: Eukaryota; Metazoa; Chordata; Mammalia; Scandentia; Tupaiidae
Exons: 3
Source: RefSeq, a predicted model, not a curated record
GGCAAUGACCCUGGAAACCAGUCCACUCCCAAAAGCCCCUGAGCUCCACCUCCUGUCAGACCUGCAGCAGCACUAGAUUACCAUAGAAGCCCCCAGGGACCGCCUAGUUGCAGGAUAACAAAUUCAGGGCUCCGUGAUUCUACAUUAUGGGCAGCAGGCAGCUGGGAGCUGGCUUCUCUCAGCAGAGGAAGACAGCACAAGAGGGUGUCGAAGAUGGAAGCCAACAAUGGCGUUUGGAACCUCUCUCAGAAGUCACAUCCUGGAUCACUAAGGCAAGUCAGUAAAGCCCAGUCCCCACACAGGAUGGGCAGCACACGAGGAAACAGAUACCAAGAGGUGUGGAUCUGUGGGGAUCGCUCCGAGACCACCCACUGCAGGUACAGGCACCAACACACCUGAGCAUGGGAAAGCAAGUGUGUGGAGCAUACUCAGCUCUGCCCACAUGAGGGCACAGGAACUGGCCUGGCAGAGCUGAACCACUUCGCAAAGACCUUUUCCUUCCUUCUUGAAAACACAGCAUUAUCGCUCUAAUCCCAACAGUCCUGAAGCAACAGCUUCUUAGCACAGGAGAGGCAUUGAAGUGAGGUGGGAUGAACAAUGCAAGAGGGGGAGCCGUGGGUCCUCCAACAGCCUGGGUUAUUGUCUGGAAACAUCAAUAUGUUGUACUCCUCAGGGGAGGUUAUGUAUAAACAAAC